UUUUUUUUUUUAUGGCUGCAUAGUAUUCCAUAGUGUAGAUGUACCACAUUUUCUUUAUUCAGUCUACCAUUGAUGGGCAUUUAGCUUGAUUCCAUGACUUUACUAUUGUGAAUAGUGCUUCAGUGAACAUAUGCGUGCAUAUGUCUUUAUGGCAGAAUGAUUUCUAUUCCUUUGAGUAUACACCCAAUAAUGGAAUUGCUGGGUGGAAUGGUACUUCUGUUCUCAGUUCUUUGAGAAAUCACCACACUGCUUUCCACCAUGGGUGAACUAAUUUACAUUCCCACCAGCAAUGUAUAAGUGUUCCCUUUUCUCUACAACCUCACCAGCAUGUUAUUUUUUGACUUUUUAAUAGUGGCCAUUCUGACUGCUGUGAGAUGGGGUCUCACUGUGGUUUUGAUUUGCAUUUCUCUAAUCAUUACUGAGGCUGAGCAUUUUUUCAUAUGCUUAUUGGCUACAUGUGGGUCUUCUUUUAAAAAGUGUCUGUUCAUUUCCUUUGCCCACUUUUUUAUGGGGCUGGCUGUUUUUUGCUUGUUAAUUUGUUUAAAUUUCUUACAGAUUCUUGAUAUUAGACCUUUGUUGGAUGCAUAGUUGGCAAACACUUUCUCUCAUUCUAUAGGUUGUCUACUCUGUUGAUAGUUUCUUUUGCUGUGCAGAAGUUAUUUAGUUUAAUUAGAUCCCAUUUGUCAAUUUUUGUUUUUGUUGCAAAAUUGCUUUUGGCAUCUUUGUCACAAAAUUUUUGCCAGGGCCUAUGUCCAAAAUGGUAUUUACUAGGUUAUCUUCCAAGAUUUUUAUAGUUUUAUAUUUUACAUUUAAAUCUCUAAUCCAUCUUGAGUUGAUUUUUAUAUACGGUAUAAAGAAGGAGUCCAGCUUCAGUCUUCUCCGUAUGGCUAGCCAGCUAUCCCAGCACCUUUUAUUGAACAGGGAAUCCUUUCCCUGUUGCUUGUUGUUGUUGACUUUGUCAAACAUCAGAUGGUUGUAGAUGUGCAGCUUUCUAGGCUCUCUAUCCUGUUCCAUUGGUCUAUGUGUCUGUUUUUGUACCAGUACCAUGCUGUUUUGGUGACUGUAGCCCUCUCUAUUCUGUUCCACUCAUCCAUGUGUCUGUUUUUGUAUCAGUACCAUGCUGUUUGGGUUACAGGUAAUGUCAUGCCUCCAGCUUUGUUCUUUUCGUAUAGGAUUGCCCUGGCUAGUCAAGCUCUUUCGUGGUUCCAUAUGCAUUUUAGAAGCUUUUUCUAAUUCUGUGAAGAAGGAUAGGAAUAGCAUUGAAUCUGUAAAUUGCUCUGGGCAGUGUGGCCAUUUUAAUGGUAUUGAUUUUUUCUAUCCAUGAGCAUGGAAUGUUUUUCCAUUUGUUUGUGUUAUCUCUCAUUUCUUUGAUCAGUGUUUUGUAAUUCUCAUUGUAGUCGUCUCCCUGGCUAGCUGUAUUCCUAGGUAUUUUAUUCUUUUUGUGGCUAUUGUGAAUGGGAUUUUUUUUUUUUUUUUUUCUGAGACGGAGACUUGCUCUGUCGCCCAGGCUGGAGUGCAGUGGCGCAAUCUCCGCUCACUGCAAGCUCCGCCUCCCGGGUUUACGCCAUUCUCCUGCCUCAGCCUCCCGAGUAGCUGGGACUACUCGCCCAGCUAAUUUUUUGUAUUUUUUUAGUAGUGACGGGGUUUCACCGUAUUAGCCAGGAUGGUCUCGAUCUCCUGACCUCGUGAUCCGUCCGCCUCGGCCUCCCAAAGUGCUGGGAUUACAGGCGUGAGCCACGCGCCCGGCCAG
This is a long non-coding RNA of Macaca fascicularis (crab-eating macaque), 1750 nucleotides long. The record is from Ensembl. Lineage: Eukaryota; Metazoa; Chordata; Mammalia; Primates; Cercopithecidae.